RNAcentral lists this non-coding RNA (193 nucleotides) under Paenibacillus uliginis. RNAcentral describes it as "Lysine sequence". It matches the Rfam family "Lysine riboswitch aptamer". From Rfam's summary of the family: Riboswitches are metabolite binding domains within certain messenger RNAs that serve as precision sensors for their corresponding targets. Allosteric rearrangement of mRNA structure is mediated by ligand binding, and this results in modulation of gene expression. This family includes riboswitches that sense lysine in a number of genes involved in lysine metabolism, including lysC. The record is from RNAcentral. Lineage: Bacteria; Bacillati; Bacillota; Bacilli; Caryophanales; Paenibacillaceae. RNAcentral also lists the same sequence under 1 other name.
AGAUGAGGUAGAGGUUGCGAAUGUGAUUAGUAAACGUGCCGAGGUGAAGAGUCACCUAUGACGCACGCUUGAAAGGCAUUUUCGCCGAAGUGGACGGCUGUGCUCUUACACCGUCUGCUGGGUCCGAUCCCGAAAGGGACGGAACUGUCACGGGAGCCAAUCCUUACGCUUCCCGUGUUGUGCUAUCUUAAUG